RNAcentral lists this ribosomal RNA (229 nucleotides) under uncultured bacterium. RNAcentral's name for it is "partial 16S ribosomal RNA". It matches the Rfam family "Bacterial small subunit ribosomal RNA", at positions 568 to 796 of the family's 1533-position model. The record is from RNAcentral.
CGCGUAGGCGGGUUUGUAAGUCAGAGGUGAAAUCCUGCAGCUUAACUGCAGAACUGCCUUUGAUACUGCAGAUCUUGAGUUUGGAAGAGAGAGACGGAAUUCCAGGUGUAUUGGUGAAAUACGUAGAUAUCUGGAAGAACACCAGUGGCGAAGGCGGUCUCUUGGUCCAUAACUGACGCUGAGGCGCGAAAGCGUGGGGAGCAAACAGGAUUAGAUACCCUGGUAGUCC